Molecule: ribosomal RNA, 478 nt
Filed under: uncultured bacterium
Lineage: Bacteria
Description: partial 16S ribosomal RNA
Rfam family: Bacterial small subunit ribosomal RNA
Source: RNAcentral
GAUGAACGCUGGCGGCGUGCUUAACACAUGCAAGUCGAACGGGAAACCUUUUAUUGAAGCUUCGGCAGAUUUAGCUGGUUUCUAGUGGCGGACGGGUGAGUAACGCGUGGGUAACCUGCCUUAUACAGGGGGAUAACAGUCAGAAAUGGCUGCUAAUACCGCAUAAGCGCACAGAGCUGCAUGGCUCAGUGUGAAAAACUCCGGUGGUAUAAGAUGGACCCGCGUUGGAUUAGCUGGUUGGUGGGGUAACGGCCCACCAAGGCGACGAUCCAUAGCCGGCGUGAGAGGGUGAACGGCGACAUUGGGACUGAGACACGGCCCAGACUCCUACGUGAGGCAGCAGUGGGGAAUAUUGCACAAUGGAGGAAACCCUGAUGCAGCGACGCCGCGUGAAGGAAGAAGUAUCUCGGUAUGUAAACUUCUAUCAGCAGGGAAGAUAAUGACGGUACCUGACUAAGAAGCCCCGGCUAACUACGUG